GAGUUUGAUCCUGGCUCAGAGCGAACGCUGGCGGCGUGCUUAACACAUGCAAGUCGAGUGCGCGUACCGUAGCAAUACGGUAUGGCGCACGGCGCACGGGUGCGUAACACGUGGGUAAUCUGCCCUUCGAUGGGGAAUAACUCCGGGAAACCGAAGCUAAUUCCGCAUAACAUUCCUUGAACCUCGGUUUGGGGACUCAAAGCCGUAAGGCGUCGGAGGAGGAACCCGCGCACGAUUAGUUAGUUGGCAGGGUAACGGCCUACCAAGACUUUGAUCGUUAGCUGGUCUGAGAGGAUGGCCAGCCACACUGGAACUGAGACACGGUCCAGACUCCUACGGGAGGCAGCAGUGGGGAAUCUUGCACAAUGGGCGAAAGCCUGAUGCAGCGACGCCGCGUGGGGGAUGAAGCUUUUCGGAGUGUAAACCCCUUUCGACCCGGACGAAUGCCCCGCAGGGGGAUUGACGGUACGGGUAUAAGAAGCCCCGGCUAACUACGUGCCGGCAGCCGCGGUAAGACGUGGGGGGCCAGCGUUGCUCGG
Molecule: ribosomal RNA, 539 nt
Filed under: uncultured bacterium
Lineage: Bacteria
Description: bacterial SSU rRNA
Rfam family: Bacterial small subunit ribosomal RNA
Source: RNAcentral